RNAcentral lists this non-coding RNA (759 nucleotides) under Malassezia pachydermatis. RNAcentral's name for it is "Eukaryotic large subunit ribosomal RNA". It matches the Rfam family "Eukaryotic large subunit ribosomal RNA", at positions 1 to 831 of the family's 3401-position model. The record is from Rfam by way of RNAcentral. Lineage: Eukaryota; Fungi; Basidiomycota; Malasseziomycetes; Malasseziales; Malasseziaceae.
UGACCUCGGAUCAGGUAGGGAUACCCGCUGAANNNNNNNNNNNNNNNNNNNNNNNNNNNUGAAAGCUGGCUCCUUCGGAGUCCGCAUUGUAAUUUGCAGAGGAUGCUUUGGGUGCGGCCCCCGUCUAAGUGCCCUGGAACGGGCCGUCAGAGAGGGUGAGAAUCCCGUCUUGGGCGGGGUGUCCGUGCCCGUGUAAAGCUCCUUCGACGAGUCGAGUUGUUUGGGAAUGCAGCUCUAAAUGGGUGGUAAAUUUCAUCUAAAGCUAAAUACUGGCCGGAGACCGAUAGCGCACAAGUAGAGUGAUCGAAAGAUGAAAAGCACUUUGAAAAGAGAGUUAAACAGCACGUGAAAUUGUUGAAAGGGAAGCGCUUGCGACCAGACUCGCCCGCGGGGUUCAGCCGGCAUUCGUGCCGGUGUACUUCCCCGUGGGCGGGCCAGCGUCGGUUUGGGCGGCCGGUCAAAGGCCCCUGGAAUGUAGUACCCUCCGGGGUACCUUAUAGCCAGGGGUGCAAUGCGGCCAGCCUGGACCGAGGAACGCGCUUCGGCACGGACGCUGGCAUAAUGGUCGUAAACGACCCGUCUUGAAACACGGACCAAGGAGUCUAACAUCUACGCGAGUGUUCGGGUGUCAAACCCGUGCGCGCAGUGAAAGCGAACGGAGGUGGGAGCCCCCUCGCGGGGCGCACCAUCGACCGAUCCUGAUGUCUUCGGAUGGAUUUGAGUAAGAGCGUAAAUGUGGGGACCCGAAAGAUGGUGAAC